GGAAGCUGUUUAGGAUCAUAGAUGUUAGACGACCCAUUAGAUCAUGUUUUCUAAAGCAGAAAAAUAGGAAUACAGAUAUUUUCCUUUUUUUUUUCAUUUUUUCCUCUCCCAAAGCACUACUGUAGCCUGUACUGCUCAGAACUCAGAUAGUUCUAAAUUAAAAAAAAAAAAAAAGAAAUUUCCAUUUCUCCCCUUAGUAACUAUAGUGUACCCAAUGGAAUAUACUUAACAGGAGCCUUGUUUGUUUGUUUGUUUGUUUGUUCUUUUCUUGCCAGAUUAAAAUUUAGUAUUUUAUAAUACUGUAAAGAAGCUACUGACUUCAAGAUCUGGGAUACACAUAUUCUUUUCCUGCCUAUAAAUACAAAACAAUAUAUAACACAGAAAGUCAUCCCAAAGGCAAGGUCAUUUACUCCAAGGAGUGGAAUAUGGGCAUUAUAAUUCACUAAUCCCUUAUGGCUGAAUGAAUCUGAAUGAAGAGUAAAAAUGUGGAUUUUUAAAGAUAUAUUACUGCUGUAAUCAUUCAUCAAUAAAAUAGGUGUGAAAUUGAAGUUUAUUACGGGUAGCCAGGCUAGAAAAGCAGGGAACGGCUUCUUCGUUUCCUGAUAAGCACCCUCUCUGAGACUGAGUCUUGUUGCCUGGAUGUCUGACAUGCUUCCAGGAGCCCUUUGAAAACCGCCUCUGUGUUCCAGACAGUGAUUUUUGCCCUAGACAGAUUUUAGAGCGGGAAGGCCACUCAUCUGUAUCCUUAGAGAUGAUUCACGUAUUUGUGUUCUGUAAAGUAGAUUAGGAAGAAAAACUUGCUGCUUUGUUAAUUAGGGCCCUUUAACAUUUUGUAUUCUCAAGUUUAAUCAUUUGCGUAUUUGAACUAAAGUCAUUUUCCUUAAUCACUGUCAUUAGUAGCUGUCCAUAAAUGAUAUUCUCUCUCUGAAUUUUACAAGCAUGCUCUUAUUUAAUGCAUUUUCCAUUAGGGAUUGGGUAGCAGCAUUUUACAUUUUAAACAACUAAGAUGAGUUAUUGGAAUAUUUCACCUCUUUUUUCCCUGCAAGUCUCGGUGCUUCUCGAGCUUGCCAUUGGGCAGCCAGCAACUGGGGGAGGAGCUAGCACUUUCUAAUCUUGUACUACUUUGUAGUUUAAAAUGUCCACAUGUUCAAAGUGUUACCCAAAAUGACACCCAGUGGUUCAGUCUCAAUCUUCCUAGUGUUAAAUAUCUGUAUCUUCGGGGAAGAGUCCAUUACGUUUUGGAAGGAUAUAUUGAAAACUCUUCCUUCUACUG
Molecule: long non-coding RNA, 1273 nt
Filed under: Mus musculus (house mouse)
Lineage: Eukaryota; Metazoa; Chordata; Mammalia; Rodentia; Muridae
Description: long non-coding RNA chr14:117011017-117012290
Source: RNAcentral